ACCUUAACGUGAAGUUUAAAAACUUUAACUAUAAAAAAAACAACCUACCUAGUGUACCUAACCUACAAUUAUCCCAAAACUUCGUCGUCCCUCUAUAAACCAUGGUAAAUCUUCUAUAAACCCGUCGUCCUCUAUAAAUCUCUGUCUAAACGUUGUGCAAACUAAAAUUGUCGAGAAAGAGAGAGACACUUAUUUCGAGCAUCGUUAUUAAUAACUCGAAACACCAUGCGAAAGCAUCCAUUCCCAGACGCUCUUCAAACAUGCAUUACACGAUGUGAAGGAGCGUAGUAACGAGAGGCGUCAGACCGAGAGAAUGGUUUAUUUAAGCUGUGCACAAAUUGCACGUGUGCAUCCUCGAGGCUUUUUAUCCGGUGAAUGAGGAUGACGUAAAGGCCGGAGGGACAAAGGUGCACGAGGGGGAAGAGUCGUGGCCGCGAAUAGGGAGUUUUGCAAGGUGAAGUGUCGCUCUGCGAGGUGUCAUGGCGCCGCUGGUCGAUAGAAUGCAACGCUUCCCCGCCGUUCACUCUUCCUGUUCCGUCUGUUUUCCGAGCUUUUAUAAGCAGAGGCGAGGGCUUGUCAGCAGCCUUCUUUUCUUUCAAGUUUUCCAGUAUCGGAUUAUUUUAUCAUUUCUACCCAAGUUGGAUUCUUCUUCGCUCGUUCCAGGUUCGAACUUUUCUAGGUUAAAUGUCACAUUUUCUACGAUUUCUUCUCUCGUUUCGAGUCUCGUAAAUACAAGAUACAAGGACUUCGAUUCUUCUCGUUCGUUGAAUUUUUGAUCUUGGAUCCCAUUAAAUUCCUCGCUUGCUCUAAGCUCGAACUUUUCUAGGUUAAAUGUCACGUUUCCUGCGAUAUCUUCUCUCGCUUCGAGUUUCAUAAAUAGAUUUCGAUUCUUCUCGUUCGUUGAAUUUUUGAUCUUGGAUUCUAUUAAAUUUGGAUUCUUCGCUCGUUCUGGCCUCGAAUUUUUCUAAAUGUCGCAUUUUCUUCGAUUUUUUUUCUCUCGUUGCGAGUUUCGUAAAUAGACACGAGGAUUUAGAUUCUUCGUUUGUUCUAUAGCUCGAAUUUUUUUAGGUUAAAUAUCACUUUCUGCGAUUUCGAUUUGGAUUUUUUUGAUCUCGAAUUCUCGAAUUAAAUUUGGAUUCUUCAUUUGUUCUAGACUUGAAUUUUUCUGUGUUGAAUGUGAAACUUUCUGCGAUUUCUCUUCUGAUUUCGAAGUUAGUUUCAAAAAAUAUACGUUAAUUAAGCAGCCUUGAUCCGCAACCAACGACCCAGUUCCAUCGUGAGCCGAGUUUAAUCCUUUCUACUCGUUCACGGGGAAACGCAACACCGUUUACUACGAUUAGUCGUUCGAGAAGAUGUUUGUUUGUACCGAUCGAUGAAAAGCUUUGAUAAUCGAUACUCGUUCAAUUAUUUAAGCGACCACCAUUUCCACAGCUGAAAUAGAAAGGAAAUAACAACGUGCAACUAGAAUCCACUUUCACCUACUUUUCCUCUACUUUUCGUGUUUCCAUGUAUCGAUGUCAUUACCACGGGAUUCAUCGUGUUUUUCAUCGGUUCUUUCCACUCGCUUGUCCCAGUAAAGGGAAGAUGAUUAAUAUCCUUUCAUGGUGUAUUUUAAAAGUUGACUUCCUAUUACGUAUUUAUCAAUCUUGAAUGCGGUAAUUUUAAUAUACAGAGUGGGUUGUGUAAUACGAUUAUCUGAAUUAUUUUUCCAGAUAACAAAAUUACGUUAUAUUUUUAUGAUAAGCGCUGUAAUAAAUAAAUGAAAUAUUGGUAUUUUUUGGAUUAAUAUUUUGAUAAGUAUCGAGUGAAAGUAUGAGAAAGUUAAAAUUAAAUUAUAAAGGAGGAAAAAAAAAAUUUCACUUCGUUAAUCUUUAUCUACUGGUAAGAUAUAUUUUUUGGGACGAAACGAUUAAAAGAUAAUUAUCGUGGCGACGUCAAUUGUUUUCUAUCGAAUAACGUAACGACUCGUAAAUUUUUCCAACUUAAUCGAAUAAAUGGCUCGCAAAAGAUAA
Molecule: long non-coding RNA, 2012 nt
Filed under: Apis florea (little honeybee)
Lineage: Eukaryota; Metazoa; Arthropoda; Insecta; Hymenoptera; Apidae
Description: uncharacterized LOC105734878
Source: RNAcentral